CUAGAUGGUGGUUACACCAAUUUAUUUGCUGUCUGUAAUUUAUUACAUUGUCUAUCUUUGGUGUGAAUUUCGUAUUUCUCAAUAAAAUUGUUUUUUGUUUUUUUAAAAUAUUAACAUUUAAAGUACCAGAAACUAUUAAAUGUUGAAAACACUUUCUUCCAGUUUCCUAUUUUUUCUUUUAAGUUUUUUUAAUAAUCAUUUUUUAAAAAAACUUGAAUUUACCAACUUUUUAACGUACCUUAAUUUCAAAUUGUUGUCAGCAAGCCAUGUAGUCUAUUUUUGCACUUUCUAUUUUUUUUAAUUUGUAUUUCUAAGUGAAUUUAUGAAAUAGCAGCACACCAUUUUACUACUUACAACAUGUUAGAUAGUAGUGGGAUUAGGCAUCUUUGCAUUGUUUUUUAUUAAGGAAUUCCUUCAGUUUUUCCUCAUUAAGUGACACUUGCUUUAAGACUGAGCUAAAAGUCUAUUAAGACAUUAAGCAAGUAUUUAUUUAUUUAUUUUUUUUGUCUUUUGUCUUUUUUGUUGUUGUUGUUGUUAUUGUUGCUAUUUCUUGAGCCGCUCCCGCGGCAUAUGGAGGUUCCCAGGCUAGGGGUUGAAUCGGAGCUGUAGCCGCCUGCCUACGCCAGAGCCACAGCAACUCGGGAUCCGAGCCGUGUCUGCAACCUACACCACAGCUCACGGCAACGCCAGAUCGUUAACUCACUGAGUAAGGGCAGGGAUCGAACCCGCAACCUCAUGGUUCCUAGUAGGAUUCGUUAACCACUGCGCCACGACAGGAACUCCAAGCAAGUAUUUAAUUUUCACUGCAUAUACUUAUGAGAAAUAACAAAAAAAUUUUCAAAUUUUAUUUUUGCCCAGUCAUUUCUUAUUUUUCAUACAAGUAACUUUAAUUUUUUGCUUCACUUUUUUUUGUUGUGAUUUUUCUUUUGAUAUUUAGGAAAGUUUUCAUUUUUUUCCAGUGAUUAUUUUUAAUACUCUUUAUUAACAUACUUAUUUUUCUUUGUAAAGCUUAUACUCUUUAGUGUAUGUUUUAAGUUUUAUGUUUUGAAAUCUACUAGUAUAUAUAUAUAAAUCAGGAGGCAAACUUUCCAUUUUCUCCUCUCUCCUCCUUCAUUAAAAAAAAUCGUGGCCAUUUCCACCUUGUAGGAACAUAUAGCACCAACACUUUAUUUUUAUAUUUAUUUACCUACCUUUACUUUGUCCUCAGAUUUUUGAUUACAGAUAAUAAAAGCUCAGAAGUUAUUUUUGCUGAAAUGUCAACAUUCAUCUCUUGAACAAAGAAAAUGAGGAUUGUUUUAGGGUGGAUAGCUCAGUUACAGGUUUUGUGUGCUAGAGUUUCACCUGCCUCCCCUUCCUUCCUCUGUAACCCCAAGAAAGCAGUUCUCUGUUACCUUUUACUAUCAUUUUGUCCUUUCAAGAAUGUUGCAGAAAUGGAAGCACACAGUAACCUUUUGAGAUCGGCUUUUCUCCCUCAGAAUCUUUCUUGCGGAGAUUCACCCUGGUUGCUGUAUAUUAGUGUGUUCCUCAGUACUGCUGAGUAGUGGUCCACAGUCUGCACGUGCCACAGGUUGUUGCCCAUUUCCCUGCUGAAGGGCGUCUGGGCUGUUUCCAGUUUGGAGACAUUAAUUGUGUAUAGGUUUGGGGGUGAACAUACAUUUUUUGCUUUUAUUUUUAUUUUUUGAAAAUAAGGGAAAGCAGUUAAGCUACUACUAAACUGAGAAAUGUGUCCUGCCAUUCUCUGGAGUUCUGGCUCCCUGCACUGUAAGAGUCUUGAGCAUUUCCUUUUUUAGUGUUGUAACAUAUACAUUAGUUCCAGGUGUCCAACAUAAUGACUUGUUAUUUGUUUAUAUUGAGAAAUGAUCACCACAAUAAAUCUAGUUAACAUCUGUCAUCAUAUAGAAUUACAGGGUAUUUUCUUUGUGAUGAGAACUUUUAAGAUUUAUUCGCUUGGCAACUUUCAAAUAUGCAACACUAUCAGUUGCAUCUCCAUGCUGUACAUGACAUCCCCAGGACUUAGGUUAUGCUUGGAGGUUUGAUCUCUUUCACCUAUUUCACCCACCCUUUAGUCUUCACCUCUGGCAACCACCAAUCUGUUCUCCAUAUCGCCGAGCUUUGUUUUUUGUUUUGUUUUUUAGAUUUCGCAUUUGAGUGAGAUCAUGUGGUAUUUGUCUUUCUGUGUGACUUAUUUCAUUUAUCAGAAUGCCCUCAUGGUCCAUCCAUGUUGUCACAAAUGUCAAGAUUUCCUUCUUUUUUAUAGCUGAGUAAUAUUCUUUUGUAUACAUACCACAUCUUUAUCCACUCACCCAUCUAUGGACACUUAGGUUAUUUUCAUGACUUAGCUAUUAUAAGCAAUGCUGCAAUGAACAUAGAGUGCAUAUAUAUUUUGAGUUAGUGUUUUUGUUUUAAGUAAAUACUCGGAAACGUAAUUACUAGAUCAUAUAAUAUUUCUGUUUUUAAUUUUUUGGCGGAAUCUCCAUACUGUUUUCCAUAGUGGCUGCACCAAUUUACAUUCAUGUCAACAGUGCAUGAUGGUUCCCUUUUCUCUAACCCUCUCUAACACAUGUUAUUUCUUGUCUCACUGUGGUUUGGGAUUGCAUUUUCCUGACGAUUAGUGAAGUCUAGCAUCUUUUAAUGUACCUGUUGGUCAUUUGUAUGUCUUCCUUGGAAAAAUGUCUAUUCAGAUCAUCUGCCCAUUUAAAAAUUGAAUCAUUUGGAGGUUUUUGCUAUGGAGUUGAAAUGAACCUAUGUUUUAUUUACUUUGGGAUUAAUGUCCAGCUGUGCAAUUGUUGGGUCAUAUGAUAGUCAUACAUUUAGUUUAAAAAGAAAAAUUGCCAAAUUGUUCCCAGAGUGGCAAUUUCAGCUUGUAUCUCCACCAGCAAUGCAUGAGUGAUCCAUUUUCUAGUUUUGUCAGAUCCUUUAAAACAUUUAGCAUGGUAGCUUUUUUUUUUUAAGCCAUUGUGAUAUAUGUGUGGUGAUGUUUCGUUGAGUUUCUAAUUUACAUUUCCCUAAUGGCUAAUAACGCAAAAUAUAUUUUUAUGUUCUUAUUUGCCAUCUAUAUCUAUUCUUCGGUGAAAUUUCUAUUCAUAUAUUUUUGUCCAUUCUGUAAUUGGAUAAUUUACUUUUACCUGUUGAGUUUUGAGAGUGAUGAUGGGUGCUACUGUGACAAUGUGAUGGUAAAUUUGAUGGGCUCUUUUUCUCUGGAGAAACCUGACUAAUCAGACAGCAAAAAAAAGAGGACACACUUGGGCCCUGACAUUGGGCUGAUGCCGGCUGUCAUGUCUACACCGAGACCCUUUUUAUAUCUUUUCCAUCUCCUCCAAACCCCAAGCAAACUCUGGAUCAUUGGUGGCAUAUCCAGCUGUUUCAAAAGUUGAAGGUAACAAUGUUAUACAAUGUUUAUGAUGUUCCUACAUAAGUUCAUUAUAUUUGAGGAAAUUUUUACCUUACAAACAUGAUAUGAAUAGUAGAAAAGUUUACAAAGUAUAUACAAGCUCCUUUAUCUCUCCCUCUCAUUAAACCCUAAAAACUCACACAAACACACAAAGAAUGCCUAUGCAAAUAAAACACUUACACAAUCCCAUUUAGAGGAAUAUUACUAUUUUAAUUCAGUGAUUUCAAUGUAAAUAUUCCAUUUUCUAUAUUUUUCCCUGUGAGCAUGUAUAUACUUCAAUAACACAUGUAUAUCAUAGUUUAAGAUGAUGUACUCUCUAUGCCAGUAGUAAGAUCACCUUGUGUAAAUAUAGAAGUAUGUAGGCCACUUAAAUAUAGAAGUAUGUACGAAAGUGUCAGAAAUAGUCAAGUGUCUACUUUAGUAUUUGAUAUUUCACUUAGUUAUCCCUAUGCAAUUUGUCACAUUAUAUAAUUUAUAAAUAUUAAACUUUCCCACUCUUAAAUUUCAUGAAACAAUUUUAUUCAAAUCUACACAUGUUUUUUUGACAUUAGUGCAUUCAUCACUUUGCCAGCUAGUUUGAGUCACCUAACACAGUCUUCAAGAAUACAUCAUCUCCACAUCCACCUAAAAUCAUAAAACUAUAACACUUUUUGAAUGUGUAAGAUGCUGUCACUAGAAAUUUUAUCUCCUGUCAAAAGGACCCAUUUACAUAACAUUAGUACCCAUUUCCCUCACCCCACUGAAGAUAUAUGGUCAUGGUCCCAGGACCUCUACAAUGCUGUCAGUUGCCUUUCUCCUUUUAAGGAGACCUUGAAAAUUCUUGUUUGCAAUAGCAUUAAAUGGUAUUUAACCUGAGGUUAUACAACUGGGAAUGUUUACCAAAUCUAUGUUACUUUUUUUUCUUUUUGUGCAUGUGUGUGUUUCUGUUCCCGAACUCCAAAAGCAUUUAAAUUUCCAUUGUUCAUAAUAACAUUUCUCUCCCAAAUGGUGCUUCAAAAUAUUGAUGUGAUUGGCAGAGCAACACACACAUGAGAAAUUUUCGAAUAGGAUUUGGUAAACAACUCUCAGAAAGGUAAUCUGGGGCAAUAAUACACAUCCGAUAUUUGGGCAGCAAGAGUGUUUUAUUUUUAAACCUAUGUUUUAUUGAAUAUAUUUCAAGUUUCUUUAUAUUUUAUUAAACACUUUCUACAAUAAGAAAUUUAAAGAUUAAAUAGUAUUUUGUUAUGCAGAUUUGGAAGUUCGGUUUAACCAGUUCCUUUGUGUUUGGCCUUUGUUUCAUUUCUUGAUACUUCACUCAUGGAAAAAACACAAGGAUGAACCCCUUAUAAUUAUACCUUUGGAAAUUCCAUAUUUUCUUUCCUUAGCAUAAAUUGUUAGAUAUACAUUUUUCUUAAGGUUUUUUGCGUAUUUCCAAAGUAAGGAGACAGGUCCCACUAGGCAAGCACAUAUUAGCCUUUACUUUUGUCACAUGCGUUACUGUCCUUAUGGCCAAUGCAAGUUGGAGUCAGUGUGUGGGAGGGGCUACCCAAGGUUGUGAGUACAGAGAGGUUUGAGUAGACUUUGCAACAACCUGCAGGAGGCUUUGUUAGAGUGCUUAAACCUAUGAUGUUGGGAUAAAUCUAAGUUUAUGUUCUGGCUCUGAAACUUAAAGUAUGUGUGAUUACGGACAAGUUACUUAAACUCUCUGAGCCUCACUCUUACGCCUAAUCAUAGAAGCUGGAGUGUAAGAAGGAGGAUUAAAUAAAAUAAUGCACAUAAAGGACUUAACACAGAGCACGCCACGUAAUAAGAGCUCAAAAACAUUUUAGCUACUGUUAUGGAGACAAAUUCUUAGGUUCUGAAUGUUCUUUGUGAUAAAUUAUUUAUAUCUCUUUUGGAAAUGUGUCACUGGUGCCCCCCCCCCGAGGUCUGCAUGUGUGGACAGGUAUGAAGCCAAGCCUGGACACAGCUUAGGCUCUAAGGGGCUCAGAGAGUCCUGCUCUCUGAGUUCAGGACUGAAUUGCUCAGCUUCUGUAAGUAGUGCUUUUUCCCCACUGGCUUGCUGAGGAAUUUAUAAUGCAGUGAUAUCCAUCAUCUAGCCUAGUUAGCAAACAGUACUGUGCUAACCUCACCACGGGAAGAAUUAUUCAGACUUCCUUCAUUGUAAAAAUGACAAAGACAAUUCUUUAGCUCCACAAUCUUUCAUUAAUACAUUGCAAGAGGCAACAGUGUACAAUCUGUUAUCCUGCAUUUAGCCUCUGUUUGAGAACUCUGCUUGCCAAAAUUUUACUUCUCACAUGAUUUUUAUCAAAAACAUUCUCAAGUUUCAGUAUUUCUCUGCUAACUUUUCUCUAUUAACUAGUCUGAGUCACCACUGCAGUAACUCCAUGAAUGUUCUUCCUUCCAUCUUUGCUACCCAUUCUCCAUACAAGAAAGAGAGUGAUGUUCAAGAGUACAAACUAGGUAGCCUA
This 5841-nucleotide long non-coding RNA is filed under the name Sus scrofa (pig). Its description in RNAcentral is "lncRNA (ENSSSCG00000045430.1)". Lineage: Eukaryota; Metazoa; Chordata; Mammalia; Artiodactyla; Suidae. The record is from RNAcentral.